RNAcentral lists this RNase P RNA (345 nucleotides) under fish gut metagenome. Its description in RNAcentral is "Bacterial RNase P class A". It matches the Rfam family "Bacterial RNase P class A". Rfam says of the family: Ribonuclease P (RNase P) is a ubiquitous endoribonuclease, found in archaea, bacteria and eukarya as well as chloroplasts and mitochondria. The record is from RNAcentral.
CAUAUUGGGGAGAGGAAAGUCCGAGCAACACAGAGCGCUGCGCUUUCUAACGGAAAGAUGUCCGUAAGGGUAUAGUAUAGUGGAAGAAAACAACCGCCAUGUAGUAAUAUGUGGUAAGGGUGAGAAGGUGAGGUAAGAGCUCACCAUUGUCUAUGGCAACAUAGAUAGAUGUGCUACUCGCGGGUUGCAAGACCAUGUAUACCGACAUUUAAGGACUGCUCGUCCGUUGUCGGGGGGUAGGUUGCUAACAUUAGUAGUUCGAGAGAUCGACUACAUAGAUAAAUGACGAAAGUUAUUUGUAAUGAAAGUUACAAAUUUCACAGAACUCGGCUUAUAUUUUAUCCU